CUGGUUCAUUGUCUUUAUACGUUGGUUAUUACCAACAUUUAAGUCUAUAUAUUCAAUCAUAUUGAAUAAAAUAACGAACAAAACUAACAAAUGAAACUAUAUACAGUUACAUAAAUGGUUCCUGUUACGUAAUUUGUUUUUUCUAAAAAUCAAUUUUAAUUAUGUAAACUCCUCUCCUAUAUGAAAGAAUACAAGCUAAGUACCAACAGUAGUUGUUGUUGCUCUAAAACAUAUACAAAAGUAUAAAUAGAGCAUAUUUACACAC
Molecule: long non-coding RNA, 265 nt
Organism: Arabidopsis thaliana (thale cress)
Lineage: Eukaryota; Viridiplantae; Streptophyta; Magnoliopsida; Brassicales; Brassicaceae
Product: other RNA
Exons: 1
Source: RefSeq